Molecule: ribosomal RNA, 468 nt
Filed under: uncultured bacterium
Lineage: Bacteria
Description: partial 16S ribosomal RNA
Rfam family: Bacterial small subunit ribosomal RNA
Source: RNAcentral
GACGAACGCUGGCGGCGUGCUUAACACAUGCAAGUCGAACGGAAAGGCCCUGCUUUUGUGGGGUGCUCGAGUGGCGAACGGGUGAGUAACACGUGAGUAACCUGCCCUUGACUUUGGGAUAACUUCAGGAAACUGGGGCUAAUACCGGAUAGGAGCUCCUGCUGCAUGGUGGGGGUUGGAAAGUUUCGGCGGUUGGGGAUGGACUCGCGGCUUAUCAGCUUGUUGGUGGGGUUGUGGCUUACCAAGGCUUUGACGGGUAGCCGGCCUGAGAGGGUGACCGGCCACAUGGGGACUGAGAUACGGCCCAGACUCCUACGGGAGGCAGCAGUGGGGAAUAUUGCGCAAUGGGCGGAAGCCAGAUGCAGCAACGCCGCGUGCGGGAUGACGGCCUUCGGGUUGUAAACCGCUUUCGCCUGUGACGAAGCGUGAGUGACGGUAAUGGGUAAAGAAGCACCGGCUAACUACGUG